Molecule: ribosomal RNA, 462 nt
Filed under: uncultured bacterium
Lineage: Bacteria
Description: bacterial SSU rRNA
Rfam family: Bacterial small subunit ribosomal RNA
Source: RNAcentral
GAGCCCGCACAAGCAGUGGAGUAUGUGGUUUAAUUCGACGCAACGCGAAGAACCUUACCAGAGCUUGACAUGCAUAUUGAAAGAUUGGGUAAUGCCGGUCUGUCCUUCGGGACAAUAUGAACAGGUGGUGCAUGGUUGUCGUCAGCUCGUGUCGUGAGAUGUUGGGUUAAGUCCCGCAACGAGCGCAACCCUUACGGUCAGUUGCUACGAAAGAGCACUCUGGCCGGACUGCCGUUGACAAAACGGAGGAAGGUGGGGACGACGUCAAAUCAUCAUGCCCCUUACGCCCUGGGCUACACACGUACUACAAUGGCGCAAACAAAGGGAAGCUAAGCCGCGAGGCGGAGCAAAUCCCCCAAAAGGCGUCCCAGUUCGGACUGCAGGCUGCAACUCGCCUGCACGAAGUUGGAAUUGCUAGUAAUCGCGGAUCAGCAUGCCGCGGUGAAUACGUUCCCGGGCUUU